RNAcentral lists this long non-coding RNA (788 nucleotides) under Homo sapiens (human). Its description in RNAcentral is "USP2 antisense RNA 1". Lineage: Eukaryota; Metazoa; Chordata; Mammalia; Primates; Hominidae. The record is from RNAcentral.
AGAGCCCGGCCUCCGGCUGGGGCCACCCAGGCAACCGAUAUACACAGAGAACCACGUGGAGGAAAAGCACGCGAGUUUGGAGCGGGUGGAGCAGGAACAGAGGUGGACUGGAAUGUCACACGACGGGGCAGCUGGAAGGGCACCACUGAGUUCAGUACUUCAAAAUUGCCGUGCUCUACCUCUCCCCAGUGCACAAAAACACUCUCCACACCAAGCUGCUGCUGCUGGGGGAUGGAGGGAUGGCGUCAGCGAUUCAAGACUGUUUUUCCUACCUGUUCAGCACUUCUUUCAGCGAUAUGAAGUUAAAUCCAGAUGUCGUCAUCAUCCACUUGUUCAAACAAGAGCCCAAGGAUCAUCCUAGAUUCCUUCUCACUUCCUCUCAAUCCAUCCCUGAAACAGCCAAACCACCAGUGGAGUUUCGCUCUUGUUGUCCAGGCUGGAGUGCAGUGGCAUGGUCUCAGCUCACUGCAACCAAAGCUCCCGGGUUCAAGUGAUUCUCCUGCCUCAGCCUCCUGAGUAGCUGGGAUUACAGGCAUGUGCCACCACACCCAGCUAAUUUUUGUAUUUUUAGUAGAGAUGGGGUUUACCAUGUUGGCCAGGCUGGUCUCAAACACCUGACUUCAAGUGAUCCACCUGCCUUGACCUCUCAAAGUGCUGGGAUUACAGGUGUGAACCACCAUGCCCAGCCUCUGUUGACUUUCAACUAUGGAAAAUGUGGUUUUAGCUUUCUUAUAUGCCCAUUUUCUCCUUCACCAAAUACAUACACUUAACCUUUUCCCAUCCUCCAA